AGACUACAGAGCACAAUAAUGACCUGGACAGUGUGGAUAACCUUGGUGUGCCUUCUUUAUUUUGAUGUUGCAGCGGGGCUACAUAGGCCGCGGCCACUAACUGAGCCACCUAGCCCUCGUGCGGGUACAGAGGUUCCCGAUCAUGCGUUACACUGUCGACUUACGGGGCACUCGUGUCACAAGGCCAUUGAAUGCUGCCAGGGAAAGCCGUGCAAGGACGGGAAGUGCCUGUAGGCUGCCUAAUUCAAGGGCAGUGACGUCCCGGAACGUACAAGGAGACCAGUGCCAUAACGGCACGCCUAUCGAAAAGAAAAAGAGCCAGCGAUUGAUACCACAGUCUGCGUUGCGGGAAAUACCUUUACAGUAAAUAUAAAGCUUCAGUGAUAUCAUGUGAUUGAUCUCAUUCUGUCCUAAUGAAAUUAUAACUGGA
RNAcentral lists this long non-coding RNA (430 nucleotides) under Dermacentor andersoni. RNAcentral's name for it is "uncharacterized LOC126522185". The record is from RNAcentral. Lineage: Eukaryota; Metazoa; Arthropoda; Arachnida; Ixodida; Ixodidae.